ACUUAGAUUCAAUAAACAUAAAAAACAACUUUUUUGCUUAGUUAUCCAUUUUGUUUAGUUUAUUGUACGAUUUGCAUGAUAUUUUUGAUUCUACUGGAAUGUUUAAAUUGAAUGUACUUAACAAAGCUUAUUUUAGUCUAUUGGUAAAGGAGUGAUGUGCAAGGGGAAAUGUGAUUGGCUCUUUGUCUUUGGACUGACGUCACUGGUGAAUACAGCGUGAGCGCGCAUUUUCUAAUGGCUGCUGAUCACUGUGAGUACGAUUUCAUACUUUUGUCUCAAACAGUCCACAUUGUUUUCCUUUAAUAAACAAAGUAUGUAACCGUUAGCAAGAAAACCACAUGUAAGAUUAAGCUGUGUCUGACGUUAGGAUCAUGUUAUUGUUCCGGUCAAUCGCAACCGCCAUUGCCACAUUUAUUAACAGUUCUAAGACGUGAAAAGUGCAAAGACGUGCGUAAUAGGAUCAUGAUAGAUCAUAUAUUAUGUAAAAAAAAGUUAAUGUAAGUUUUGCCUGUGUUAGCGUAUUCAUUUAUGCCACGUAUAACCGAUCACGGCCGCUGCAUUUCAUCUAUAUAAUUCGUUACAGUUACUGUACGUGGAAACAUGCUUUAUGAGGUCGUCACGUAUAAAGUUUAAUAUUGAUGCUGUAUUCGAUGAGUCAUCCGCGUUAUCUUUUGUGUAAACUGAUUAUUUUUUCAGUGGUGGUUAUGUGUCGUCAGAUGUUUAGCAUAACAUAACCUGAGCUGUUUUUAACAUUUUUUUUACUUUUUUUUUCUUGUAAGUGAAGUAUUAACUGACUAGAAUACAUUGAGAUUUGCCCCUUCGGAAAUACGAAUUCAUGUUAGUUGGCAGUUUUUAAAGAUAUGCAACCUCGUGCUCAUCAGUCUUAGCAAGUGAAUUUUCAGUUAAUUAGAAUGAAAGCUAAAUAAUUAACUGUAGCUCUCUAAUUCUUUUGAUUAACAAUAGCUGUUUGUGGGAAAUUUGGAGAUAACAGAUCAAAUUAUGUAAAUGUGUUUUGUCAGCUAGUAAUCUAAUGUAUAUUUUUGUAACUGUAGAUUGCAGAAAGAUCAAAGACAGGCCAACCAGGAUGAGAUGAAAAUGUGUAUCAAGAGUUCAACCAGAUAGUGUGGAAGAAUCUUAAGCAAGAAUUAUAUUGGUCUCUUGAUCAUCACUGCCCACAGCUGAUUCAGAUCUUCAGGUCAAAGAGAGGAUUCACUGGACAGAUUUUUAUCUUCUACAAAAUAACAAGGCGUCUGACCUCACUGACAUGCCAUGUGUUGCCAUUUGAGUGCUUCCAGUAGUUGUUGGUGAUGACCCAACAGUUCUUCAAAGCAUGUUUUGCUUCAGAUGAUGGAGACUCAAAUCAACAUGUGCCCGUUGGAAUUCUUAACCAAGAAAAUUAAGAUGUGGCUCUGCAACCCCUGUCCUUCCACCUCCACCCAUUCUCUGGGAAUCAUCUUGGAGGGAAAUGUUGUAAUGGACAAUAUAGACAAUAUUCCCCAGGCCAAGUGUCUUUUUGGAUCAACCUAUGCACUGCACCUAGGCUACACAAAAUGCAUGGACAAUACCCUUCUUUUUAUUCAACAAGUUUGGGUAAGAAGAUGCUGAAGGGUAAGAUUCUGGCUGUUAAAAAUCAACUUGUCAUGUAAACUGGUACAGAAAAGGCAUGUUCCUUCAGGCUUGCUGUCCUAACUGUGAGAUAAAAAAAAUUAAAACUAUGCUUUAGUGUUUGGCAAGUGUAAAUAUUCCAUAAUGUUAAAAUGUAAUAACAUCCUGUGGUUGUUUAUUUUUUGGAUAUGUUUGUAAAAAUGUAUUUAAAAAUUUUAAACAAGUGUUUUAAUAAGAUUUAUAACAAUAAAUAUUGACUAAUUGUUAUACAAGGCAUUUUCUAGUUUUGUCACUUGUUUCGGAGUGAUAUUUCUAAAUGAUUUUAAAUAAACUGUAAAGUAAAUUUUUAUUCUUUGUCCUUGUUUGUAAUUAGGGGUAUUUUCAUUAAAUCAUUUAUUGUGAAUAGCUAAGGUUAAAAUUAUUUCUGUCAUAACAUUCAGGUCAAGAUUUUAUGUUUUAAGUUUAUACAGGUUGAUUGAACUUAAAAAAUUUAUGGAAACUCGCUGCCCUAAAAAAGCUAAUUUCGUCUUGUUGAAAAAACAAUACUUUUUAGGUUUAUUGUACCUAAGAUUUAAAUAUUGUUGUACUAAAAACCUUUAUUUCAGUCAACUAAAUAUUUAAUUAAAUGCAUUUGAAAUCUUAAGUACAAUAAACUUAAAAAGUGUUGUUUUUUCAACGAGACGAAAUUAGCUUUUUUAGGGCAGCGGGUUUCCAUAAAUUUUUUAAGUUCAAUCAACCUGUCCGGGCUUACAGUGUAGGUAUAUAAAAUAUAUAUAAAUAAAAUGAAAAAGGCGGUUGUGAGGGUCUUAAUCAAGUAAUAGAAACGAGCCUAAGUCAUGUGAAAGCUUUCAGGCAUUUCUGUUCCUUGUGGAGUGAAGAGACCUCUUCAGAUCAUUCCUCCAUCCAUUAAAGUGGGGUUUCACCUUAACAAAUUUGCAUCAGUGAAGUAUUUAACUGGAAUAAUUCGAUUAUUUGCCAAAAAGUUCAGGUCUUUUCCUUCAAAAAUAUACCAACUUUGAUGGAGACCCCAGUUAAAGGGUGUAUUUGUAUCUGUCUGGAAUGCAGCCACUUCUGAAAUUACAUCCACAACUGUUUUAUAACUUUACAGUGAAAAAAUAUGAUCUACAGUUUCAAUAUCUGUCUUGCAAAAACUGCAUGAAUUGUUUCCACAGUUAAAUUUUUAAUGUAAAAAGUUAAUAGAUGGGUAAAUGUCAUUUACACUUUUAAAUGCUACUUCUUUAGCCUUAGGAAAGAAACGGGUAUGUUAAGUAUCGUUUUCUUAUUUUUCUUGAUUCUUUACUGAACUCUUGUAGAACAUAUUUUCUUGAUAUGGAAAGUAUUGUUUUGGCAAUAAAUUUUUUUAAAAACG
Molecule: non-coding RNA, 2974 nt
Organism: Danio rerio (zebrafish)
Lineage: Eukaryota; Metazoa; Chordata; Actinopteri; Cypriniformes; Danionidae
Source: RefSeq, a predicted model, not a curated record